This 520-nucleotide ribosomal RNA is filed under the name uncultured bacterium. RNAcentral's name for it is "partial 16S ribosomal RNA". It matches the Rfam family "Bacterial small subunit ribosomal RNA", at positions 28 to 507 of the family's 1533-position model. The record is from RNAcentral.
GACGAACGCUGGCGGCGUGCCUAAUACAUGCAAGUCGAACGCACUCUCGUUUAGAUUGAAGGAGUUUGCUCCUGAUUGAUAAACAUUUGAGUGAGUGGCGGACGGGUGAGUAACACGUGGGUAACCUGCCCUAAAGUGGGGGAUAACAUUUGGAAACAGAUGCUAAUACCGCAUAAAACCUAACACCGCAUGGUGUAGGGUUGAAAGAUGGUUUCGGCUAUCACUUUAGGAUGGACCCGCGGUGCAUUAGUUAGUUGGUGAGGUAAAGGCUCACCAAGACCGUGAUGCAUAGCCGACCUGAGAGGGUAAUCGGCCACACUGGGACUGAGACACGGCCCAGACUCCUACGGGAGGCAGCAGUAGGGAAUCUUCCACAAUGGACGAAAGUCUGAUGGAGCAACGCCGCGUGAGUGAAGAAGGUUUUCGGAUCGUAAAACUCUGUUGUUGGAGGAGAAUGUAUCUGAUAGUAACUGAUCAGGUAGUGACGGUAUCCAACCAGAAAGCCACGGCUAACUACGUG